GUUAACGCAACAAUUUCUCUCUUGUUACCGUCACCGCGAAAUCGCCGAUUAGGGUUCUGAGAAAAGCACUUUCUCCGCAAUGAGAGCCAAGUGGAAGAAGAAGCGUAUGAGGAGGCUGAAGAGGAAGAGACGAAAGAUGAGACAGCGAUCUAAGUAGAGACUCCUCCUUUGAAGACUUCGCUUUUCCAUCUGCUUCCUUGUCUUUGCUUUUCGCUUCAAUCCUAAGUACCGUUGUCGGAUUUUUGUUUCAGCUUUUAAGUUUUCUGGGCUUCGUUUUUGUUGGAUUGUAUGGAUCCUCAAUCAAUGUUAAAGCUUCAUCUUUUUAAUCAGAUGUUCACCAACAAUGUUAUCAUCUUGUAGCCGUUUAUCCUCGUAGUGAAUUGAGAAUAUGUCAAUUCAUCAUUUGGA
Long non-coding RNA from Eutrema salsugineum, 408 nucleotides. RefSeq lists it as uncharacterized. The record is from RefSeq and is a predicted model, not a curated record. The transcript has 2 exons. Lineage: Eukaryota; Viridiplantae; Streptophyta; Magnoliopsida; Brassicales; Brassicaceae.